UACGGGGGGGGCAAGCGUUGUUCGGAAUUACUGGGCGUAAAGGGCUCGUAGGCGGCCAACUAAGUCAGACGUGAAAUCCCUCGGCUUAACCGGGGAACUGCGUCUGAUACUGGAGGGCUUGAGUGUGGGAGAGGGAUGCGGAAUUCCAGGUGUAGCGGUGAAAUGCGUAGAUAUCGUAAGGAAGACCAGUGGCGAAGGCGGGUCUCUGGACAGUUCCUGACGCUGAGGCACGAAGGCCAGGGGAGCAAACGGG
RNAcentral lists this ribosomal RNA (253 nucleotides) under uncultured bacterium. RNAcentral describes it as "partial 16S ribosomal RNA". It matches the Rfam family "Bacterial small subunit ribosomal RNA", at positions 524 to 776 of the family's 1533-position model. The record is from RNAcentral.